This is a non-coding RNA of Coturnix japonica (Japanese quail), 5045 nucleotides long. NCBI's taxonomy places the organism in Eukaryota, Metazoa, Chordata, Aves, Galliformes, Phasianidae. The record is from RefSeq and is a predicted model, not a curated record.
UCGGCGGCGGGGUGAGGAGGGGGCGCUCGGCGCGCAUGCGCACUGAGGCGCUCGGCCGUCGCUCGGUGCCCGUCGCCUCAGCGCUGUGAGGAGGCCGCGCUGUGAGUAGGCCGCGCCGUUAUCCCUUAUGGAGCGGCUCCUGUUGGACCUCAGUGAGGAAUAAGCUCGAUAUUUCAACAAAGUCCUGCACGUUGGAAGCAAAAGUGAGGAAAUAAAGGAGAAAAGCUGCUUAUUUUUCUGCCUAGAUGUGGGAGAAAAUGGAGGCCCGGAGGCUCAGCGCCUCACACAGUGCUGAGGGGGGAAUAUGGGGCCUGUGGGCCGCCAUAGAACUGGCUGAGCUCAAUGGGAGGACAGGCAGCAUCAGCAGGCCCAUGUCUCCAUAGAGGUAGGGGUGAGCUGACACACACAGCCCUCCAUGUCUUCAAACCCCAUCAGAGGCUGCUUUGAUUCCAGCUGAGCACUGCGAUAGGUGAGAAGCACCAUUAGGGUGUAAUAAAUCCUCACAGUCCCGCUGCCUCGCACCCACACGCUGCCCUUUACCCUUAUAAAGCAACAGAGAUAAAACCAGGUGCUUCCCUGCUUUGGUGCAUCACCCCGAGCAGCCCUUCCUCCUGUAACCCAACCCUGAGCUGGGAUAUCAGAGCAAAGAAAUCAGGCGCUGCUCUCACUUCCACUAUCGAUCACCUCCGCGGCCCCGUUUUAGUGGGUUUAUCAGCUGCUGAUAAGCACUUCCUGCCCACGUAAAAAUAGAUUGUAAUUAUCCACCCGCUGCAAGGAGAUGGAUGGAUGGAUGGAUGAAAGUCAGCUCAGCAACCAUCAGUGCCAAAAGAUUAAGUGCCUGAGAUGAAACUUGAUAAAUUCUCCCCUCUUGGAUCUCAGAAGAUUGAAGAGAGUGAAAUCUCCCCUCUGACGGCUCUCCAGCUCUGGAUCCUUCGGAAUUGCUCUGGCAGAUGAGAUCCAGCUACUUCCGUAUUCUCCCUUAGAGGCUCCAGAGGAAGGUGUGAGGUUGAGCAGCUUACACAACAGCACGGCAGUGCGAUCCACAAGUAAGCUGACCUUUUUUGUGUGUGCCUUUGCUUACAGACACCGAGAUUUCGAUCUCUCGCACUUCCUACUUAAUGUUCCUGUUGACUGACGUUCCCAUUAUCCUCAAAGAAUAUCCUGUGAACUCCACAGAGCCCGGAGUUGCGGCGUUAUUCUGAACUAAGCCCCAACUUUUGCUUUCGGUGGGAGAACACUUUGUUUCACCCAACAUUUCUCCUGUUUCUUUCAUGUAACAGAUCCUUGCUUCCAGAGGGCAGCACCUGAAUUAGCCCCUCUGCACCGUGCAUCAAAUCUGAUGAGCAGCCCAAGCAAACCAAACUGCAGUCACAUGGAACACUUGGCUCUGCUCUGCUGCAAUGAGUUUGGGGAGAUCCUUGCUCUGAGCACCAGUAUUCCCAGAAAGAAAGCAAACACUGGCUGCUGAAAGAUAUUAUUCUCAUUUCUACAAGGCUUAUCUUCUGGUGCUCUAUAAUACCUUGGCAACCCCACAGAGGAUUCUGGUCUGGUUAUUUUUCCCAGAAUCAAGGCCUGGCUUCAUGCCACACUGAAGCAAGAAGUAUUCCCAUGAUGCUAAGGUGAUAUGAGCUGAUAAAGCAGCAGCCACUUUUUGUCCUUCCAAAGAUAACCCUUGAAUAGGAGGCAAAGCUUUCAAUGCAGGUAUGCUCACAGUCAGCACUCAAAGGUGAGGCACCCCUAAGAUUUAUGUGCUUUAUUGAAACGAACAGGAAACAGGGAAAUACUUUUUAACUGCUGAGAGAUUACAGCAUUCACAUCAGAAGGGUAGAUCUCUCUGCUGCUACCUCUAAGCAGAAACGCGCUACAGCAAAAAUAUAGUACUAUUAACCACUUAUUUCAUUCAUGGCUAAUAGGCUUCACACAGUUAACUACCUGCCUACUUCUCUGAUUUAUAUCCCUGCGUAAAACCAACCCCUGCUAUUUCCAGGCCUUAAGACAUAUGUUAAUCUGGAAGUUAAAGGCUCAUCUUAUGCAUUUUUAUGCUGAAGAUAUUAAAAAGGGUGAGGGAAAAUCUGUUUGCAGAUACUGAUAAUGUUUGCAUGAAAACUCAAUGACCAGUGAGACAAACACACCAGUCAAAUUCAGGCACCUCUUGAGUUUCAAUCAUUUCAGUAGAGCAGGAGUGCCACAAAAAGUCCAUUCCACAGCAGGUGAGUAAGCAGCCCCCACAGCAGUCUCACUUUGCUGGUUCCUGUGACUGAUUUUGUUCUCUUUGCCCUACAUGAGAUCAUCACAGAUUGCUCUAUGGGGACUGCCUUCCUGGGGCAGCAGCAGCAGCAGCACACUGUAACCAAAGCUUUUCUCCUGUGAUGCAGCAUUUCUAAGAAGUUCCUUUCACUUCUUGGAUGGGAGCAGCCAGUCGUUCACUCCAACUCUAAUUGCUGCUGUGCAUAAUCCCCAGAAGGAAUGUAACAACUUGUUUCUCACUGUGAAAAUGGCAGGUUCUCCACUGCAAGCUUUAAGCCUUUGGCUGAAUACCUGCCGGGCAUCUUGCCUGGGGUCAGGGUUUGUUCUUAUGGUCGUCCAUGCCUUGCUACAACGGGUGGACACUCUGCUAGAUUAACACUACCAAAAGAAGCGGGGCGGACAGAGUCCCUUCCUUUCUCCUCUUACCCCCAUUAAGUGCAGCAGCUGCAGCCUGAAAGAACACACCAGUCUUUCAGAAAGAUUCAGAUACCAGAAGAAAAAGCCUGAAGCACAGCAUGGCCCUAUAGACAGCAGAGAGAGGCUGCUGCAAGCAGCACGGGACAUGUGCCCCAGGAUGAACAGUGCAUAAGUGAGCAUAUGUAUGCACAUGGGGAGCAUCUCCACUCCCCAAAAUACUAAACCUGAAUCCCUUUUACCUGAUAAAUGCUUUGAUUUUCUUCCUAAUAGCAAGCACAUGCGUUUGGCACAAGAAAGUUUUCAUCAUGUGAGAUCUCCAAAGCAUGCAAAAUGAAGGUCCAGGCAUGCUAACUGCACCACAGGGCAAAUUUCUCUUUUCCAAACCUCAGCAAGAUUCAUACAUUCCUUCUAAACCCACUUGUGAACCGCUUUCCUGAAGGCACUAAUACUGAAUGCAGGUAUUGAUAGUGCCAAGCAGUAAACCUGCACCUAUAAGGAGCCACGUAGUUCAACCAGAGCCCACAGAGAGGGGAAAAUAACCAAGCAACCAAAGGAAAAAGGAUGCAGUUAAAGCAAACAAUUGCAAACCUUAUUUGAGACACAGUCUGAUUAGAACCACCAGACAACCACAUGUAAAAUGGGGUUUUUAGUGCAAUUUCAAAGCAUUGUGACCGGAAGACGUAGAUCAAAAAUGUUACAUCCAUCUAAAAGGAUAAAUUCAGCUCUAGGCACUCCGGUGUUAAUGUACUGCAACUCCAGUGACUUCAAAGGGAUUGCUGCCGAUAGAAAGCAGUGCAGCCAGAAGCACUGGCUGGGAGCCUGCAUAAACAAGCAAAAAAAAAGAUUUUCAUUUUUUAAGAAGCCAUAAAAAAUAGUUGGAGCUAAUUACGUGACAGGGGCCUGGGUGUGAAACAGUAAUGGCAAAGCCUCAGGGAUCAAGACAGGAACAUUCGCUCCCUUCAGCUUAUGAAUACUUUUGCUCUAACAGUUUUUCUUCUUCCCAUUGCAAGCUGCACACACUGCUGCGAUGCUGCACUCCAGAGGCCCCCACCGUUGCUCUGUACUGAAUCUCAACCCUUUGUCUUACAAUCUGAGGCUGAUUUCAGGUUGCAGAGCUAAAGCAGCAGCUGUCUCCAAGCAGAAAGCCCAUUUUGUGUUCACCUUCUGGAGCCGCAGCUGAAAUCACGACCACCCCAUGAGCAAAGUUUCAAACUUCCCUCUGAAGCUCCCUGAAGUUGAAAUAUUAAUCUGGAAAGCACUGAACGUGUGUUUCUGAAGCUCAGUUAUUAGUUUGGAACGGGAAACAAAAGUUCUGGAGCCCGCAGGCUGCCACCGUAUCUACUCAGUAUUAAAAUGCAAAGCAGAAUCUACGCUGCCUCUGCAGAAAAAAUAACUAAGAAAGAAAUAUCUGUGUUCCAUUCGUGCUCCCAGGUGAAAUGUAAGAUAACCGAGCCCUCCUAGGAAGGCCCUGAUAGCAGCUCUGCUCCCUCACCCGCCUGACAUGCUGACACACCCAGGCUAGACAGUAAAUUUAUUCAACCACAUUAAUUUCUCCUGUUCCUUAAGUCGCAAGUGGUGAAAUCUCAUUCAUUUAUGCAAGCAACUGGAAGAUUUAUUGUAAAUAAAAGUUCUGCACAUUACACAACUGGCUCAAAAUCAUAAUUAGAGUUGCACUGGGAAACAUGUUUUAUUUAUUCUGACAGUAGUCUGGCUUCAAUAAUCAUAGCAUGAUAAAUGCUCCUGAAGUUUGCAGAGUUUCAGCAACUCCAGAGCUUAUCACAGACGUGGAAGUGAAAACAUCUGAAUAGGUUUGAUGUGGCUCACAAGAGGUCCUGAACACUUCUGUUGUAUAGCAUCAUUUUACAUCAGCACCAGGCUACCAAGAGCUGGUGGGAGUGUCCUCCUUCACUGUAAAUCAAAGAAAUGAGAUGUUCUGCUGCUUCUAAACUUCCGAGACCUCCUCCCGAAAGCUGGGCCAUGUCUGCACGAAUUAGUGAGGUUCUGCUGUGGGGAGAAAUGACAGUCGGAUUGCCGAGCCGACAGACCCUCUGGAAAAGGGUCAGUGACACCAUUAAUAGGAUGCAGACAUUCCCCAUCUCUAGCUGUUCUGCACCCUGCCAAGAGUUCUAGUGCUUUCUUCCUUUAUAGUUUCAAGCACAAUUUCAGGCCCAUAAAACAUCUGAGAAGACAGAAGCUCUUACCCCAGCCCUGACAGCAGCCCAUGACAGGACACGCACACUGCGAAUAACUUGAACUAAUGAUGCUGUGCUCUCACUGGUCUCCAUCUGUUCAAGGGUAUUUUAAAACAUACCAAAUCAGGUUUACCCCGGUGGCAUUUACUGCUGCUCUGAGACUAAUAAAUGGCUCUGAGUGCAAUCAAA